GGGGUCUCCUUGGUUCUUCGGUAGAGUUCACUUCAUUCCACUCACUAUUCACACUUGCUUUUCACUCCAGUGUUCAUGAUCCUUACACUCGUGAACUCUACCGAAGAGGGGCAUAUUUGUAGACCCCCAUUUUGGGAGUCAUUCUUGCAGUUGAUGCUUGACAAGUGUCACCAUCUUGCAUGGCCACGUGUCACUCCCGGAUUAGUCAAUAUGGG
RNAcentral lists this long non-coding RNA (215 nucleotides) under Vitis vinifera (wine grape). RNAcentral's name for it is "long non-coding RNA (VVIN_LNC006559)". Lineage: Eukaryota; Viridiplantae; Streptophyta; Magnoliopsida; Vitales; Vitaceae. The record is from RNAcentral.